UGUUGAAAAUGGCCAACCAUGCUGCUAUUAUGUUUUGUUAAAAUGCAUGGUACUAUGAUGAUUCUGUUGAAUGCAUACUGCUUGUAUGCAUGUUGCAGCAUUUGUGCAUGUUGCAGCAACAUAUUUUCUGUUUUAGUUGCAAUUUAAUUUAGUUUGGUUGAGAAUGAACUUUGAUGUUGAUGUUUUGAUGGGUUGGUUGAGCUGAUAAGUCAGCUUAUCCAUGUGUACAAGCAAUGUUUUUAAAGUUACUAGGCUACUUAGUGGUAUUAGGUAGUAAUAACUGAUGUAGUUGGCUAUAAAUGUAUUGUUUUUCUUAUUGAAAAAUUAAGCAUAUCAGUUGUAAGGCAGAUUGCUUCCUUGCUGCACGUUUGUGAGCAAGUAAAUUGUUUUUGUUUCUUCCUCCUUUGUUCUAUGUUUUGUUCUUUUUCUAAGAGCUGCUGCCAUUGUUCUUUCUUUUUCUUUUUUCUUCCUGUUAACCGAGAGCUUAUGCUCUUGAUGCUUUGUGUUUCUGCUUGCUGUUUGAAGAGCUUAUGCUCUUAGUGUUUCAUUGUUUGGUUGCUGCUGCCAAAUGUUCCAACAAAUGGUAUCAUGAGCCCAAGUCUUAAGGGACCAUUGAUUUUGCUUCCCCUGCUCAACAUCGGCUCAAACUUAUGAGACCUCCAAACAAGCUUCAAUAAGCUGAAGGGGGAGUUUCAAGGAAAGGUGUGAGCUUUCCAAAUGUGCAAGCUUAGCAAGAUGUCAAAGCUGCAAGCUUAGCAAAGUGCGAGCUGAUGAAGACACCUGUUGAAGACAAUAUGCAAAGAUGUGAGUCUGUCAAAGGUGUGAGUUCAGCAACAUGUGGAAGCUCAAUGUGUGUUGUAUAGUUGCAAGCCAAAAUAUCAGAAUGAAGGCAAGCAACUAUACUCAGGAACUGUUUGUGCAAGAAGAAACAAGUUGUCAACCAAGGCUGUGAAGGAGGAGAAGACUCCAUUUGGUGAACAAAUCUUUGGCACAAAAGACUGGGAUAGUCAAGUGUAUAAGUCAGAUUUGUUGUUUGUGAAUGAGGCCAAGGUUGAAAAUGAAUUGGUCAGCUUGAAUCAAAGUAUCUAAGAGCUGCCAAGUUCAAAAAACUUGAUGAAUGACUGGUAUUUGCAGCAUGGAGUCCAAGGAGGAGUGUUGAAAAUGGCCAACCAUGCUGCUAUUAUGUUUUGUUAAAAUGCAUGGUACUAUGAUGAUUUUGUUGAAUGCAUACUGCUUGUAUGCAUGUUGCAGCAUUUGUGCAUGUUGCAGCAACAUAUUUUCUGUUUUAGUUGCAAUUUAAUUUAGUUUGGUUGAGAAUGAACUUUGAUGUUGAUGUUUUGAUGGGUUGGUUGAGCUGAUAAGUCAGCUUAUCCAUGUGUACAAGCAAUGUUUUUAAAGUUACUAGGCUACUUAGUGGUAUUAGGUAGUAAUAACUGAUGUAGUUGGCUAUAAAUGUAUUGUUUUUCUUAUUGAAAAAUUAAGCAUAUCAGUUGUAAGGCAGAUUGCUUCCUUGCUGCACGUUUGUGAGCAAGUAAAUUGUUUUUGUUUCUUCCUCCUUUGUUCUAUGUUUUGUUCUUUUUCUAAGAGCUGCUGCCAUUGUUCUUUCUUUUUCUUUUUUCUUCCUGUUAACCGAGAGCUUAUGCUCUUGAUGCUUUGUGUUUCUGCUUGCUGUUUGAAGAGCUUAUGCUCUUAGUGUUUCAUUGUUUGGUUGCUGCUGCCAAAUGUUCCAACAAAAAUUUCUUAAACAGAAGAAACAAAAAAGUAAUGAAAGAAAGAUUAGAUCGAUAUUUGAAAUGUAGAAUAGAAUUCUCUCAAUAACGGAGAAGAAGAAGAAGAGAGAUCGGGCGUUGAAAACACAGAAAGGCAAAGGAAUUGCUGGCAGAGAGGAAGUUUUUGCUAAUGCUUCU
Molecule: long non-coding RNA, 1907 nt
Filed under: Gossypium raimondii (Peruvian cotton)
Lineage: Eukaryota; Viridiplantae; Streptophyta; Magnoliopsida; Malvales; Malvaceae
Description: long non-coding RNA (GRAI_LNC003511)
Source: RNAcentral